AUUGAACGCUGGCGGCGUGCCUAACACAUGCAAGUCGAGCGGUAACAGGUGUAGCAAUACAUGCUGACGAGCGGCGAACGGGUGAGUAAUGCUUCGGAAUCUACCCAAUGGUGGGGAAUAACCAGCCGAAAGGUUGGCUAAUACCGCAUACGUCCCACGGGAGAAAGCAGGGGAUCGCAAGACCUUGCGCCAAUGGAUGAGCCGAAGUCGGAUUAGCUAGUGGUAGGGUAACGGCCUACCAAGGCGACGAUCCGUAGCUGGUCUGAGAGGACGACCAGCCACACUGGGACUGAGACACGGCCCAGACUCCUACGGGAGGCAGCAGUGGGGAAUAUUGGACAAUGGGGGAAACCCUGAUCCAGCGACGCCGCGUGUGUGAAGAAGGCCU
This 388-nucleotide ribosomal RNA is filed under the name uncultured bacterium. Its description in RNAcentral is "bacterial SSU rRNA". It matches the Rfam family "Bacterial small subunit ribosomal RNA", at positions 29 to 417 of the family's 1533-position model. The record is from RNAcentral.